GAUGAACGCUGGCGGCGUGCCUAAUACAUGCAGGUCGAGCGAACAGACGAGGAGCUUGCUCCUCUGACGUUAGCGGCGGACGGGUGAGUAACACGUGGAUAACCUACCUAUAAGACUGGGAUAACUUCGGGAAACCGGAGCUAAUACCGGAUAAUAUAUUGAACCGCAUGGUUCAAUAGUGAAAUACGGUUUUGCUGUCACUUAUAGAUGGAUCCGCGCCGCAUUAGCUAGUUGGUAAGGUAACGGCUUACCAAGGCGACGAUGCGUAGCCGACCUGAGAGGGUGAUCGGCCACACUGGAACUGAGACACGGUCCAGACUCCUACGGGAGGCAGCAGUAGGGAAUCUUCCGCAAUGGGCGAAAGCCUGACGGAGCAACGCCGCGUGAGUGAUGAAGGUCUUCGGAUCGUAAAACUCUGUUAUUAGGGAAGAACAAAUGUGUAAGUAACUAUGCACGUCUUGACGGUACCUAAUCAGAAAGCCACGGCUAACUACGUG
Molecule: ribosomal RNA, 497 nt
Filed under: uncultured bacterium
Lineage: Bacteria
Description: partial 16S ribosomal RNA
Rfam family: Bacterial small subunit ribosomal RNA
Source: RNAcentral